Molecule: non-coding RNA, 26 nt
Filed under: Mus musculus (house mouse)
Lineage: Eukaryota; Metazoa; Chordata; Mammalia; Rodentia; Muridae
Source: RNAcentral
AGAAUUUAAGGAUGCCAAACCAUUGU